CGUGUAGGCGGUUUGGCAAGUCAGAGGUGAAAUGCUCCGGCUCAACCGGGGACCUGCCUUUGAAACUGCCGAACUUGAGGCCGUGAGGGGAGACUGGAAUUCCUAGUGUAGCGGUGAAAUGCAUAGAUAUUAGGAAGAACACCAGUGGCGAAGGCGAGUCUCUGGCACGGUUCUGACGCUGAGGCGCGAAAGCUAGGGGAGCGAACG
This 207-nucleotide ribosomal RNA is filed under the name uncultured bacterium. RNAcentral describes it as "partial 16S ribosomal RNA". It matches the Rfam family "Bacterial small subunit ribosomal RNA", at positions 568 to 774 of the family's 1533-position model. The record is from RNAcentral.